RNAcentral lists this unclassified non-coding RNA (657 nucleotides) under Leishmania donovani. RNAcentral's name for it is "gene:unknown". The record is from RNAcentral. Lineage: Eukaryota; Euglenozoa; Kinetoplastea; Trypanosomatida; Trypanosomatidae.
CCCCCUCUCUCUGUCUGUGUGUGCUCCCCUUCGGUGCUGUUACUGGUGUUCGCGUCUAUUCCAUCCUCAGCACGAGAGAAGAGUGAGGGGGUGGCGAACGUCAAAGAGAGGCGUCCAUCGGGACGCAAUCACACACACCGCAUCCGCAGCAGCACAGCGCAAGGGAGUGGCACUCUGCCUGUGCGUCUCGCUGUGUAUGGCGGCGUGUGUGCUUGCGUCCCGAUGGACGCCUCGCCCUUCAUCCUCUUCUGCAGUUCCAUCUCCGCACCGAUUUCUUCGUCCCCUUUACAUACACACACAAACAAGAGAGGAAACUCCGCCAGAAAAAAACGGAAGAGUGCCAUACUACGACAACGCCCGACGAAGAGGAAAGCGCCACGGAUAUGGGCAACGCAGGCCGCGAUGCCUCACCCAUUCCGCUCCGCUCUCUCUUUUUCUUACCCUCUUGCCCUUCCCACUUGCAUUCUUUGCUUGGGGCGGACGAGUGAAAGAGGCACUUGUGCACGCGCGCCGGCUCAUAGUCGGCCUUGCCUCUUCCCCCUCUUACACCCAAAGGCAGACAUUUCUGAGUGCACCCCUCCUGUCACUUCACAACGGCAAACAUAUGCCCCACCCUCUUUCCCUGUCUCCAUCUCUCUGUGCGACUUCUCUCCGUAG